AGCCACAUGUAGCUGCUAGCUAUGGGACUUAGACAGCAGAGGUGUGGAAAGUCCACACAUUCUUCCACUCAAAGGAUAUUUCCCUGCCUUUUUGAAGAUAAUGACCACUCAUCUGAGUACACAGUUUGCAGAAUCCCUUUGCAGUGGCCCAUGUGGGCCAAGGUAGUAGAGCAUAAUAGAUCUCUAGAAGGCCACUAGAAACAGCAGGUGAUGGCCCCAGCUCCUGUCCCUCCAUGCAGAACAUCUGUCAACACCUAUGGACAUCUUUUCUUCCCCCAUUCCUAUGAAUGUUGCUCAGUUGUUACAUGGUGUGGACAAAUGCUGCUGGCUGGUGGCCUGGACACACUGGACAAGCUUGGCCUUCGGUAAAACAAAGACUAGAUUCAAUUACUCAAACUGAAAUGGGAAUGCUUGGACGAACAAGCCUGCCAGGAAGUCCCAUUGGAGUUAGCAGGUUGUCCCUCAGGAUUCUGCAUGUCUGGAUUUGCAAUCGUGGAAACUGCCAAAGGUCCAGGGUUCUGGGUGGCAGAACCUGGCCUCUGCCACUAUUGCCCAAGGUAGGGACUCUGGUCCCUUCACGUCCUGUGCUGCUGUCAAAGGUUUGUGUGCAUUGGCUUGUUUUUUUUUUUGUUUUGUUUUUUUAAAUGUAAUUGCUUACACGUGUGUUUGAUCAUGCUCAAGUGGCCUUUCUGUGGAAACAGCGGCCAAGCUACACCUAGAAGUCACUGAAGAAAGUUCUAAGAACUCCUGGUUGGUAUGAGGCUAGAGAGAGAGAGAAAGAGAGAAAAGAAA
This is a long non-coding RNA of Lutra lutra (Eurasian river otter), 792 nucleotides long. RefSeq lists it as uncharacterized. The transcript has 4 exons. The record is from RefSeq and is a predicted model, not a curated record. Lineage: Eukaryota; Metazoa; Chordata; Mammalia; Carnivora; Mustelidae.